RNAcentral lists this unclassified non-coding RNA (221 nucleotides) under Hevea brasiliensis (rubber tree). The record is from RNAcentral. Lineage: Eukaryota; Viridiplantae; Streptophyta; Magnoliopsida; Malpighiales; Euphorbiaceae.
AAUGACAAAAUGUCAUCUUCCUUGUGCUCUUUGCAAGCUAAAGAAAUUAAUUACCCCCUACCGACAACACACAUCAUGUAGGAAAUACUAUUGUUGCACCCUGCAAUUGUUUGAUACAAAUGGUGAAAGUUGUGAACUUUUUAUACAAAAAUUAAUUAAUACAGAUGGUGGUUAGUGUUUGAUACUAAUUACUUGCAAUUAACUUUCAAAUUGCAGGAGCA